AGUUCGGAUUGGAGUCUGCAACCCGAACCUCCAUGAAGCUGGAUUCGCUAGUAAUCGCGCAUCAGCCACGGCGCGGUGAAUACGUUCCCGGGCCUUGUACACACCGCCCGUCAAGCCAUGGAAGCCGGGGAGUGCCUGAAGUGCGUGACCGCAAGGAGCGUCCUAAGGCAAUACCGGUGACUGGGGCUAAGUCGUAACAAGGUAGC
This 206-nucleotide ribosomal RNA is filed under the name uncultured bacterium. RNAcentral's name for it is "partial 16S ribosomal RNA". It matches the Rfam family "Bacterial small subunit ribosomal RNA", at positions 1290 to 1500 of the family's 1533-position model. The record is from RNAcentral.